Molecule: long non-coding RNA, 464 nt
Organism: Cucurbita moschata (crookneck pumpkin)
Lineage: Eukaryota; Viridiplantae; Streptophyta; Magnoliopsida; Cucurbitales; Cucurbitaceae
Exons: 3
Source: RefSeq, a predicted model, not a curated record
GAUCGAGUAAACGUACGGUUGGCUGUGGGCAUAUACCCGAAAAACAAAGCUGAUGGCUCUAUCGAGAGGGUUCCUCUUGUGGCAAAAGUUGUAGAUCUUGGACACUGCAUUAGCUCGAUGUCAAAAAGGCCUUUCUCCUUUCUUCACGAAGACCUACACGAAUUGGUUUCUGUCCGUCCUCCAUCUGGGUUUCGAGCUCAAGGGGAGAAAGGGAAAGUUUGAAGGUGAAAAAAGACAGACAUCUUAACGUGAAGUCUUUGCAGAUUCUGGGAUUUUCAUGCCAUGGAUUCUUAUCUACAGAAAGUUCUUCAGCCCUCAACGUGCUUAAAGUUUCAAGUCAAAAGGCAGGUUAUGGUAAGCAGCCAAAUAAUGGGAAAUUCAACCAUCAAGAUGAGCAACUAAUCUGGGUCAGUCUUGAUCAGCACAUGUCCAACAGGAAGAGUAGGCCCUUUUUUUUUUUUUUU